CCCUUAGAUGUUCUGGGCCGCACGCGUGCUACACUGACCGGCGCAACAAGUUUCUUUCCUUGGCUCGAUAGGCCUGGGUAAUCUUUGAACGCCGGUCGUGAUGGGGAUAGAUCCUUGCAAUUUUUGAUCUUCAACGAGGAAUUCCUAGUAAAUGCGAGUCAUCAUCUCGCGUUGAUUACGUCCCUGCCCUUUGUACACACCGCCCGUCGCACCUACCGAUUGAAUGGUCCGGUGAAAUCUCGGGACGGCGGCUUGGUCGCUUGCGUCCGACUGCUGAAACUUGAUUAAACCAUNUNAUUUAGNGGAAGGUGAANUCGUANCA
This 322-nucleotide ribosomal RNA is filed under the name uncultured eukaryote. RNAcentral describes it as "partial 18S ribosomal RNA". It matches the Rfam family "Eukaryotic small subunit ribosomal RNA", at positions 1470 to 1796 of the family's 1831-position model. The record is from RNAcentral.